UGAGGAAUAUUGGUCAAUGGGCGCAAGCCUGAACCAGCCAAGUAGCGUGAAGGAUGACUGCCCUAUGGGUUGUAAACUUCUUUUAUGCGGGAAUAACCUCGACCAUGUAUGGUCGUUUGCAUGUACCGCAAGAAAAGCAUCGGCUAAUCCGUGCCAGCAGCCGCGGUAAUACGGAGAUGCGAGCGUUAUCCGGAUUUAUUGGGUUUAAAGGGUGCGUAGGCGGACCGUUAAGUCAGUGGUAAAAUUGAGAGGCUCAACCUCUUCCGGCCAUUGAAACUGGCGGACUUGAGUGAGCGAGAAGUAUGCGGAAUGCGUGGUGUAGCGGUGAAAUGCAUAGAUAUCACGCAGAACUCCGAUUGCGAAGGCAGCAUACCGGCGCUCAACUGACGCUGAGGCACGAAAGCGUGGGGAUCAAACAGGAUUAGAUACCCUGGUAGU
Molecule: ribosomal RNA, 438 nt
Filed under: uncultured Barnesiella sp.
Lineage: Bacteria; Pseudomonadati; Bacteroidota; Bacteroidia; Bacteroidales; Barnesiellaceae
Description: bacterial SSU rRNA
Rfam family: Bacterial small subunit ribosomal RNA
Source: RNAcentral